UUUCAAACUUUCAAACAUUGACCUCCAACACUCAGAGGGAAGCACUCAACGCUCAUAUUCUUUGUAUUUCUACCAGUAAGGCCAUAAUCUAACUGAAUGGAAAGGCAUAUUUCAUUCAAAGUAAGUAUUUCUUGACCAGCAAGGGUUCAGAUGAGAAAACAGAUUUGUCAGACAAAGGAAUAAGACAAAAAAAAUUCCAACAUAACAAGUGAUGAAAACUAAUUAUUGUCUGAUAAAAGGAAUAAUGAAAACUAAUUGCAGGGAGGAAAAAGUGAGUAUCCAGGGAGAUGCAACAAAAGAGACAAAGGCAGGUGUUGCAGUUUUCUAGACAAAUACAAGAAUAUUGCUCCCACAAUUGCAGAUCUACACCCAAGAUUUCUGUUCUAGCUCUCAAAUUGAGAACCACCAAGAGAUUUUCCCCUCAUGUCUGAAAAUCUUGAUUCUUAUUAUAUUAGAUUACAUCAAUAAUGCAUACUAAGAUUCCUUGUUUUCUGCUACAUUACAGGAGGACCCCAAAAAAAAAGUGUAUAAGUUACACUGGAAAUUACCAUCCGUUGGCUGGAAAUAAACAAAAUUCUCACUCAAUUCUUUUCACUGGCACUUCUAUUGAUGGACAAUAACUUGCUGAACAUCCUUUUGGGUCGUGUAGGAAGAGUGCGAAUAGUCUUAAAUUUGGAAGUUCUACCAAGUCCAUUUGAUUGCAGAUCGUUUUCAUCCAAAUCAUCAUCUUCAGCUAAUUUCAUCCUUAAACUAGAAAGCUUCGACUUGGGUGAUUUAAGGCCUGAGACACUCCAUUGAUCCUCUGCAGGAAAGCUAGUAGUGGUGCUUAAUGCUGCUGUAGGCCUUGAUGGAUCUAUUUUAUGGGAAGCUAGAAGUGCCUUGAUGUUGCUAGGCAGCUCAGUGACUUUGUCUCCAGCCAUAGCUGCUCUAGCUUGCUCAAAGAAGAGAACUUGCACUACCACCCUCAGUGGGAGUAGCUCAUUCUGUGCAGCAUGCAUACAGGCUUCAACAGAGAGUUUCUUGCAGUCUAGGGUUUGACAUAACCGUUUUCUUUCACUCUUGUUUAGGGCUGGAUGUGCCUUGAGAUAAAUGUCAAUAGCUCUGUAGAGAUCAUCAUGAUCAAGCCUUGCGAAAUCUGGUAUGGACUCAGCAAGGGCAAUAAACUUUGAAAGAGGCAAAUUAACAUCUCUGGCAAUCUCUUGAAGAUAGCCAUCUACAACCUUUGCUACCUUCAAUUUUGAGCUAUGUGAUGCAGAUGAAGACCUCCUGCUCUCUUGGAACUCCAAAUCAAUAUUCUCUGCUGACCGCGACCUUCUCCUUUCAAAUCCUAACUUGGAUCUUGGAGGGCUAGUGGGUGGACUCUGCCCUUGUAACAUGAACUGCUCCAGUAUGGUCAUUACCAAGUCUACAUCAUACAAAGUAUCACUUGCAUAUGAGAAAGAGGGUAUUAACAAAUCAUUUACUGUUGCUUCCUCUAAUUGAAGUCCCACUCUUCUAGCCAAUUCCAUCUUUGAAGAAGAGGAGGCGUUAAGGAUAUUGGCUGCUUUCAACAGUUUAAGCAGGAAACUGCAAGAUACAGCACCUUUAUCUGCUGGGAGUAAACUUACUAUUGAUUCCAAAAGCAGCCUAUGUUUUGAAUUUAUCUCAUUCACCAAGUCUGAAUCUGAGUCUGAUGCUUCUUCAUUAUUAGAAUUCCUUGGUCUUGAUAUGUUAGGCAGCCAUCGAGCUGCAUAAAUUUUCAAUGCAUCACCUAUGAGAUUAGAAGCUAUCUUUCCACCAGAUUUAAUAGCCACCAUGGCUCUCCAAUACAGGUCUAUGCCCAGUUCUGCCAUAUCUUCAGCCCACCACCCCUUGCUCGCAGGUUUAUGCCUCUGGCUCUCAGUUCCAUUACAGGAUACAUCGUCCCUUGCUCUUCUAGAGUAACUGUGUGACAAACUUAUCUUUGAGGGAUGAGUCAAGACCUUUGAGGCAAUAGCUUCGAUGCAUCUGCUUGUAAUUCCAAGGUCCUCUGACCACAAAGGAAAUUCUUUAGUGCUCUGCAGAGUAACAAUUGAAUCCUUCCACCCAUUAAGUAUACAAGAAUUAAAGAAAACUUCAAGCUUGCAUAUUAGGUUCCCCUUCUCUACAUCCUCUGUCAUCUGCAAAUAUUCAGCAGCACAUCUCGCGGCUACAAUGUUGUAAGCACUGAGAGUGAUUGUAAUACCAUAACAGAACUUUGCACAGAGCUCAAAUGCCUCAAUCCCACCAGGGAAAUCUGGUAGUUGGAUUAUUUGGUGCUGUGAGGAUUCAAGGGAUUCAGAGCAAAGUCUCUGUAGACGCAAGCACUUGGAAAGCAGAGGAAACUGUAAACAAUGAACUUAUAAGGAAUUAGCACAAGAGAAAGCCUCAGAUCAUGGUCAGAGCAAAAACAAGAUUAGUACCCCUCAUCACUUCUUCCCCCCAAAAAUUUUUUCUAAAAACUUACCUUGUGAAGCAAAUAUCUACUUCCUUUCAAUUGAAUUAUGAGAUCACUAGAGACCUCAGAGGAGACAGACCUGCAUUGAGGAAAUAAAUUCCUGUCAUCUUUUCCAGGAAAUACAUGUCAUCUAGCAAAAUCACUGAACUUUUACCUUACAGCUUCAGCAGUGUAGAAGGUGUCCGGUCGGGAUCCAAGUUUCAUAAACUUCAUGACUAAUCCUUAUGAUUUUUCUUCCUGAUUUAUGUGUUCAUCAGUUGUGCUUUAACAUAGUUGAAUCAGAACUUGAUGACCAAUACAAUCUUCCAAUUCAAUACAAGAUAAGCCACAGAAAGUUCCUUCUCCAACAGCUAGCAAGCAAGAAAUGUUCUCCACUCAAGACCACCGGUUUCCUGAAUAAAAAAAGUCAUCCAAUUUAGCUAAAGAACAAACUAUCGCUCAACCCCAUUUAAAGCUGUAAUUUUCACUCAUUUAUAGAAAAAGGGAUAGAAAAUUCAUGGAGAAUAUAAGGAUAUCCAACAAAGAAAGUAAUACCAAGAGAUGUAGUUGUGGGUGUUAAACAAAUAGAAUUAAUAGCAAAAAUUGUCAAAAGUGAAGGAAACCAGAAGAUCAAACACUCCAAAGUGCAUGUCCUACCAAUCAAAUUCUGUACCCCAUAGGAUUUGGACAUGCAAACAAAGAAUCAAAACCACUGCAAACCCAUCAAGAUCAGAUAUACCUCGCCCACCACCAAGUCUCCAAUCAAACACAAGAUAGUGAAAAGAAAAAGAACCAUACCUUCCCUAGAACAAAACACACAUAACUACCUAUAUCCUAAAACCCUUCCUUGAACUAAAAGAGAGAUUACAAAAAAUAAAUACAUAAAUAAUGGUCACAAGAUUACAACCUCAAAUCCAAGAUUCUUGAUAUGCCCAACAAGCAUUAACUUGCCAAUCAUGCAUAGCAAAAACAGGACCUGAACAAAUGUAGGAACUACUCUUUUCUUUCUUUUUUUUCUUUGUAACCUGAAACAAAUAAAUAUGGUUCAAGGCGCAUUUCCAUUUCCAUGACCAGUGCCAGCGUGCAAUUAGAAAGGCGACGCCCACAUGCUUAUCGUGCGCCCACUUGUGUCCUUCCCUCUCAUCAUUGCCACAGCAAUAUUUUUAUUUUUUUAUUUUUUACAGUACAGCCCUCUGGAUUAUUUUAUAUUCCCAACAUCGUACACCUCUCAAAUUCUAUUUAGAAACAGAAAAAAGGGAGUUGCAGUGAAAUUUCUUUUAGAAAAUAAAAAUAAAAUGAGUUUUAC
Molecule: unclassified non-coding RNA, 3740 nt
Filed under: Hevea brasiliensis (rubber tree)
Lineage: Eukaryota; Viridiplantae; Streptophyta; Magnoliopsida; Malpighiales; Euphorbiaceae
Source: RNAcentral